AGAGUUUGAUCAUGGCUCAGAUUGAACGCUGGCGGCAUGCUUUACACAUGCAAGUCGAACGGUAACAGGCCUUCGGGCGCUGACGAGUGGCGAACGGGUGAGUAAUGCAUCGGAACGUGCCCAGUCGUGGGGGAUAACGCAGCGAAAGCUGUGCUAAUACCGCAUACGAUCUGCGGAUGAAAGCGGGGGACCUUCGGGCCUCGCGCGAUUGGAGCGGCCGAUGUCAGAUUAGGUAGUUGGUGGGGUAAAGGCUCACCAAGCCAACGAUCUGUAGCUGGUCUGAGAGGACGACCAGCCACACUGGGACUGAGACACGGCCCAGACUCCUACGGGAGGCAGCAGUGGGGAAUUUUGGACAAUGGGCGCAAGCCUGAUCCAGCAAUGCCGCGUGCAGGAAGAAGGCCUUCGGGUUGUAAACUGCUUUUGUACGGAGCGAAAAGGCUCCCUCUAAUACAGGGGGCUCAUGACGGUACCGUAAGAAUAAGCACCGGCUAACUACGUGCCAGCAGCCGCGGUAAUACGUAGGGUGCAAGCGUUAAUCGGAAUUACUGGGCGUAAAGCGUGCGCAGGCGGUUGUGUAAGACAGGCGUGAAAUCCCCGGGCUCAACCUGGGAAUGGCGCUUGUGACUGCACAGCUGGAGUGCGGCAGAGGGGGAUGGAAUUCCGCGUGUAGCAGUGAAAUGCGUAGAUAUGCGGAGGA
Molecule: ribosomal RNA, 700 nt
Filed under: uncultured bacterium
Lineage: Bacteria
Description: bacterial SSU rRNA
Rfam family: Bacterial small subunit ribosomal RNA
Source: RNAcentral